This 460-nucleotide ribosomal RNA is filed under the name uncultured bacterium. Its description in RNAcentral is "partial 16S ribosomal RNA". It matches the Rfam family "Bacterial small subunit ribosomal RNA", at positions 338 to 795 of the family's 1533-position model. The record is from RNAcentral.
CCUACGGGAGGCAGCAGUGAGGAAUAUUGGUCAAUGGACGAGAGUCUGAACCAGCCAAGUAGCGUGAAGGAUGACUGCCCUAUGGGUUGUAAACUUCUUUUAUAUGGGAAUAAAAUGUUCCACGUGUGGGAUUUUGUAUGUACCAUAUGAAUAAGGAUCGGCUAACUCCGUGCCAGCAGCCGCGGUAAUACGGAGGAUCCGAGCGUUAUCCGGAUUUAUUGGGUUUAAAGGGAGCGUAGGUGGAUUGUUAAGUCAGUUGUGAAAGUUUGCGGCUAAACCGUAAAAUUGCAGUUGAAACUGGCAGUCUUGAGUACAGUAGAGGUGGGCGGAAUUCGUGGUGUAGCGGUGAAAUGCUUAGAUAUCACGAAGAACUCCGAUUGCGAAGGCAGUUCACUGGACUGCAACUGACACUGAGGCUCGAAAGUGUGGGUAUCAAACAGGAUUAGAUACUCCAGUAGUC